GACGAACGCUGGCGGCGUGCUUAACACAUGCAAGUCGAACGAUGAAGCCGGAGCUUGCUCCGGUGGAUUAGUGGCGAACGGGUGAGUAACACGUGAGCAAUCUGCCCUUGACUCUGGGAUAACUGCGGGAAACUGUAGCUAAUACCGGAUACGACACCUUGGGGCAUCCCAGGGUGUGGAAAGAAUUUCGGUCAAGGAUGGGGUCGCGGCCUAUCAGCUAGUUGGUGAGGUAAUGGCUCACCAAGGCGACGAAGGGUAGCCGGCCUGAGAGGGUGACAGGCCACACUGGAACAGAGACUCGGUCCAGACUCAUACGGGAGGCAGCAGUGGGGAAUAUUGCACAAUGGGCGAAAGCCUGAUGCAGCAACGCCGCGUGAGGGAGGAAGGCCUUCGGGUUGUAUACCUCUUUAAGCAGGGAAGAAGCGAUAGUGACGGUACCUGCAGAAAAAGCACCGGCUAACUACGUGCCAGCCGCCGCGGUAA
This 483-nucleotide ribosomal RNA is filed under the name uncultured bacterium. RNAcentral describes it as "partial 16S ribosomal RNA". It matches the Rfam family "Bacterial small subunit ribosomal RNA", at positions 28 to 523 of the family's 1533-position model. The record is from RNAcentral.